ACACCGGCGGCCCGAGUGGUGGCCACUAUUAUUGGGUCUAAAGGGUCCGUAGCCGGUUUGGUCAGUCUUCCGGGAAAUCUGACGGCUUAACCGUUAGGCUUUCGGGGGAUACUGCCAGGCUUGGGACCGGGAGAGGUAAGAGGUACUACGGGGGUAGGAGUGAAAUCUUGUAAUCCCUGUGGGACCACCAGUGGCGAAGGCGUCUUACCAGAACGGGUCCGACGGUGAGGGACGAAAGCUGGGGGCAC
This 248-nucleotide ribosomal RNA is filed under the name uncultured bacterium. RNAcentral's name for it is "partial 16S ribosomal RNA". It matches the Rfam family "Archaeal small subunit ribosomal RNA", at positions 473 to 720 of the family's 1478-position model. The record is from RNAcentral.